CUACGUGCCAGCAGCCGCGGUAAUACGUAGGGUGCGAGCGUUAAUCGGAAUUACUGGGCGUAAAGCGAGCGCAGACGGUUACUUAAGCAGGAUGUGAAAUCCCCGGGCUCAACCUGGGAACUGCGUUCUGAACUGGGUGACUAGAGUGUGUCAGAGGGAGGUAGAAUUCCACGUGUAGCAGUGAAAUGCGUAGAGAUGUGGAGGAAUACCGAUGGCGAAGGCAUAUGUCUGGAGUGCAACUGACGCUGAGGCUCGAAAGUGCGGGUAUCGAACAGGAUUAGAUACCCUGGUAGUCCACGCCCUAAACGAUGUCAAUUAGCUGUUGGGCAACUUGAUUGCUUAGUAGCGUAGCUAACGCGUGAAAUUGACCGCCUGGGGAGUACGGUCGCAAGAUUAAAACUCAAAGGAAUUGACGGGGACCCGCACAAGCGGUGGAUGAUGUGGAUUAAUUCGAUGCAACGCGAAGAACCUUACCUGGUCUUGACAU
RNAcentral lists this ribosomal RNA (487 nucleotides) under uncultured bacterium. RNAcentral's name for it is "bacterial SSU rRNA". It matches the Rfam family "Bacterial small subunit ribosomal RNA", at positions 501 to 987 of the family's 1533-position model. The record is from RNAcentral.